RNAcentral lists this ribosomal RNA (497 nucleotides) under uncultured bacterium. RNAcentral's name for it is "partial 16S ribosomal RNA". It matches the Rfam family "Bacterial small subunit ribosomal RNA", at positions 28 to 507 of the family's 1533-position model. The record is from RNAcentral.
GAUGAACGCUGGCGGCGUGCCUAAUACAUGCAAGUCGAGCGAACAGAUGAGGAGCUUGCUCCCCUGACGUUAGCGGCGGACGGGUGAGUAACACGUGGAUAACCUACCUAUAAGACUGGGAUAACUUCGGGAAACCGGAUCUAAUACCGGAUAAUAUAUUGAACCGCAUGGUUCAAUAGUGAAAGACGGUUUUGCUGUCACUUAUAGAUGGUUCCGCGUCGCAUUAGCUAGUUGGUAAGGUAACGGCUUACCAAGGCAACGAUGCGUAGCCGACCUGAGAGGGUGAUCGGCCACACUGGAACUGAGACACGGUCCAGACUCCUACGGGAGGCAGCAGUAGGGAAUCUUCGGCAAUGGGCGAAAGCCUGACGGAGCAACGCCGCGUGAGUGAUGAAGGCCUUCGGAUCGUAAAACUCUGUUAUUAGGGAAGAACAAAUGUGUAAGUAACUAUGCACGUCUUGACGGUACCUAAUCAGAAAGCCACGGCUAACUACGUG